GUUGUACCCUUGGCUUUGGGUGUUUUCAAAAAAAAAAAAAUAAAUUGGUUAUGUGAUUCUUCUUCAUACACGUGCCAAACACUGCAUCAUCUCUCAUUCUUCUUCAAAACACCACAUCAUCUCUUCUUCCUUCCAAAACCCUUUUCUAUUCUCUCUGUGAACACAGAGAAGCUAUAGAAAUGUCCAUCGUUGCCGACCUAGGAGGUUGUACUCAUGCUUCAAUGUUUGACCCAGCUCUCAUUUCUUCUGCUAUUGGAUGAUAUGGGCGAUGGCCGACUCAUCAACUUCUUCAAUGUCUCUCAUCUCAAACAAAUCAAAACCCUAAUCCCUCACCCACCACCGCCCUCAUGUCUCACCUAACCACCACCAUCGUUCGCCGCCAAGCCACACCAGUGGAGAAACCGUGACAACUUGAUGAACGGUUGCUUCGGAGCAGACGCAAAGAUAACUUUUAGGGUUCAUUGGUAUGAAUCUUUUAUUGAUUUUUUGAAAAAUUAUUAAUCUUUUCUUGAAUUUUUGGGGGGAUUUGGUGUGAUGCGUAUGGAUAACUUGGGAUUUGAUGAGAUGGGUGUUCAAGUGAAUUUUAGGUUACAAUUGGUUAGCUUGUAGGAAUGUUGUAAUAUGUUGUUUAUCUGAUCUAUUUGGGACCGCAUCCUCCUUUAAUUCUAGGCUGCUCUAGAUCAUUUGAACCAGUGAACAGAUAUAGAGACUUCUCUUGGGGCUGUGGUUACUAAAAAUAAUCAAGACAAGGUAAAUAUGUUAUUAUUAAUGAUUUAUACACACACAUAUAUAUAUAUAUAUGUUCAUUCCUCAACUUUUGUUUAAUGGAUACAAGUAAUACUCUAGCUUGUGAAAAAAAUGAUUUUAAGGAAUUUUAUUCACUAAAAUACAAUUUGAGCUACUUCCGACCCAUAUGGUCAUUGGGAAUUUGUGUUGACCCUGGUUCUUUUUAAAGCCAAUGUAGAUCCGUGAAACAAUCUGUUCUUUUUAUGCUCUGGUGUGUUGACCGUUGUUUGUUUUGACUAAUGAAGUUAUGCUAAUGAUUAACUAUAUAAUGUUAGAUCCGUGAAACAACCUGUCUAAACGGAGGUAUUACUUUGCACUUGGCUGCUAUCAAUGGACACAUGUGUUGCAUUCGGAUCCUACUGUCUCAUUAUAUCCCUAGCAUUCCUACAUUUUUAUAAACUUUUCAAAAAAAUCAAGAAUUUAAGAAUGUGUGUCUGAAUCCAUUGACCGGUAUGCUUCAAGAAACGUUGAUUUAUCGUGUAUUAAUAUUUGUGAUUUUCUCUUGAGUUCUUUUGUGUAUGGGGACUGAUAAAUUUAAAACUUUAUUUGCAGAACCUCACUUUAUGAUAUAAUUAGCAACCUCCUGAUGGGCGAUGGGGGUGUGACUGCUCUUUAUUUGACUGCGGGUUUUAUGUGAGAUGUGUGGUUUAAUGGAAUUAAUCUAAACCACACAUCAUAUUACAUCUACAAACUAAGAGAUGAAAUGGUUUCAUCAUUUCACAAGGAGAUACUAUACACAAAAUCAGCUGCACAUAACGAAAAAUGCAUUUUGGGUGCAUUAGUGAGUUAACAAACCGUGAAGCAUAUUGCGCACCUCAUCCAGUUAAUACAGCUUAUGUCUUUAUGUUUGCUUAUUCAUUGUUAACAAUUGCCUAACGAUUACAAAACCUCCUACUUUUUAAAGUCAUUUAUUGGGUAUUUGAUGUUAGUCAAGAGUUCGUUCGAUGUGUUUGAAUUGUUCCUGUAACAUAAAAAGUACCCACAACGAAGUUAAAAGGUUCAUUUGAUGUCAUAUGUUAUAACGUGUGUUUCUAUCUUCGUAGCCCGCAUCGCAACGCGGGCGAUUCUAAUUUCUAGUUUAUAUUAAUUUGAUUUACCAUUCAUAUAUUUUAUUAAUUACAAUGUUUUAUAUUAUUCAUAGCAAAUGAUGAUGUUAAAAUAUUAUCAAUUUAUAUAAAUUUAUGUGUUGGAUUUAUUGUUUGAGGGAGAAGGAGGUAUUGCCAUGUGGUAUUUAUUGGAGUCCUUUAUUAUAAUUUAGAUUUAAAUUAGAUUAGAUGUAUCGAUUGUUUUUUUAUAUGUUAUUUUUAUUCUUAAUUUUAUAUAUAUGAGUAUAACGUGUUUUAUAACUAUAUAUACGAGGCAGGGAGUUUUCAUCGGUAUAGAUGGUAUUUGUAGGAUAUAAACUAAUCGACCGAGGUUGAGGGGCUACGUCCUGUUUGCGGUAUGCGCACUAAUUGGUCUUUGUUUUAAUUGCCGAGUGUUACGUGCCUUAUGUUCAAGGUUUGAUGCAAAACUAUCAUCGAGUCGGGGGUCUCACUGGAAGCAACCUCUCUAUUCCUACGUGGUAAGGUAAGGUUGUCUACAUCUUACCCUCCUCAGACCAUAUCUUAGCUUUGCUAUUGGUGAGAUUUACUAAAUAUGAUGAUGAUGAUCGAGGUUGAGGGGCCAACGACUAAAUCCGGGUAGGGUUGUAAACGAGCCGAGUCGAGCCGAGCUAGACCCAGCUCGAGCUCGGCUCGAGCUCGAAUUUUAAAUCGAGCUGAGAUUUGAGGCUCGAGCUCGGCUCGAUUAGAAUUCGAGCUAACUCGGCUCGGCUCGAUCUAGCUCGAACUAACAAAGAACCGCAAAAUUUAUUACUUUAAAAGCCCUUAAAAAUGAAUUUCUUCAUAGACUAAGGGCCAUAAUUGCCAUUUAAUUUAACCAUAUGGCUAAGUAUGCAAGUAUAAAUAGUUAAUUCACUUUCUCCUUGUCUUUACCUUCUUUUAUAGGGGAUAUACACCCUUAUUAGUUUUUGUUUUCUAGGCGGUGUGGGACAAAAAAAUAAAGGAUGUAAACCAUAUCGAGCCAGGUCACGAGCUCACGAGCCGAGCCAGACCAAGCUCGAGCUCGGCUCGUUUAUAAAUCGAGCCGAGCCGAGCUGGCUCGUUUACAACCGAGCCAAUUUCGAGCCGAGCUUUCUUCGAACGAGUUUCGAGCGAGCUGCGAGCCACGAUCUUUUUGAACACCCCUAAAUCCGGGUAGAUUUAUUUUUUUUUUCUUUCUUAUAUAACUCAAACAUGUGUUUUUUAUAUAUUGUUUUUUUUCUCAUAAAAGUCCUUUAACCUAAUUUUUGCAUAUUAAAGUCCCUCUCCUUGUUCAAAUUGAACAAAACUAUGUUUUUUUUAUAUUUAUAAAAUAGCUGCUUAGGGUAGUGGGGGUUGUCACUAGUGAUAGAAUUCCAUCAUUCACAAACAUCCCAUCAGCUCAUGCCAUGUCAUCAGCCACUAUUCUAUCACUCAUAAGCAUUUUGUAGUGGCGGUGGUCAUCACUAGUGAUGGAAUUCCAUCACUUACAAAUUUUUUUAAUUUUUUUUAAAUUAGAAAUUAACAAUAAAACACUAAAAUUAUAAAUUACGUUAAAAUUAAAACAUACUAGUUCAAUUUAACAUACUAGAAAUAUUUUAG
RNAcentral lists this long non-coding RNA (3449 nucleotides) under Helianthus annuus (common sunflower). Its description in RNAcentral is "hypothetical non coding rna". Lineage: Eukaryota; Viridiplantae; Streptophyta; Magnoliopsida; Asterales; Asteraceae. The record is from RNAcentral.